Suricata suricatta (meerkat) is the source of this 324-nucleotide long non-coding RNA. RefSeq lists it as uncharacterized. The record is from RefSeq and is a predicted model, not a curated record. Lineage: Eukaryota; Metazoa; Chordata; Mammalia; Carnivora; Herpestidae. The transcript is spliced from 2 exons.
GGAAAUACCCUCCAAAACGGGUCUCUCCCGGCGUGCCCCGCGGUGGGGGGCGGUGUCGAGGUCGCGUCUGGCGGGCCCUGCUAGUGCCGGGAUGCGGGAAGGCGCGGCCCGCGGGCCCCGGGUGCCGGCGGCGCGCGCGGACGGGAAGUUCGGAGCUGAAGCGGAUCUGCCCAGUCACUUCCUUUUCAUUCCCGGCCGGAGCCGACUGAACCAGACACAAGACAUAUAUAUUGGUUUGGGUGGGGCUUCCAGGCAGAACGGCAAUACACUGGUAGGCAAUGUACAGCCUCGACAAAUAAAAUUCCUUGUAGAUGUUUUAAACAA